Molecule: ribosomal RNA, 424 nt
Filed under: uncultured bacterium
Lineage: Bacteria
Description: partial 16S ribosomal RNA
Rfam family: Bacterial small subunit ribosomal RNA
Source: RNAcentral
GAAUUUUGGACAAUGGGCGCAAGCCUGAUCCAGCCAUCCCGCGUGGGUGAAGAAGGCCUUCGGGUGGUAAAGCCCUUUUGUCGGGAAAGAAAAGCAGUCGGCUAAUACCCGGUUGUUCUGACGGUACCCAAACAAUAAGCACCGGCUAACUCAGUGGCAGCCGCCGCGGUAAUACGAAGGGUGCAAGCGUUAGUCGGAAUUCCUGGGCGUAAAGCGUGCGUAGGUGGUUGGUUAAGUCUGUUGUGAAAGCCCUGGGCUCAACCUGGGAAUUGCAGUGGAUACUGGGCGACUAGAGUGUGGUAGAGGGUAGUGGAAUUCCCGGUGUAGCAGUGAAAUGCGUAGAGAUCGGGAGGAACAUCCAUGGCGAAGGCAGCUACCUGGACCAACACUGACACUGAGGCACGAAAGCGUGGGGAGCAAACAG